CGAACGAAGCGGUUACAGGGAUUCCCUUCGGGGAGGAACGGUAAUUGCCUUAAUGGCGGACGGGUGAGUAACGCGUGGGCAACCUGCCCCAUACCGGGGGAUAACAGCCGGAAACGGCUGCUAAUACCGCAUACGCCCAGGAGGCUGCAUAGCUUCCUGGGGAAAACUCCGGUGGUAUGGGAUGGGCCCGCGUCUGAUUAGCUCGUUGGCGGGGUAACGGCCCACCAAGGCGACGAUCAGUAGCCGGCCUGAGAGGGCGGCCGGCCACAUUGGGACUGAGACACGGCCCAGACUCCUGCGGGAGGCAGCAGUGGGGAAUAUUGCACAAUGGGGGAAACCCUGAUGCAGCGACGCCGCGUGAGCGAUGAAGUAUCUCGGUAUGUAAAGCUCUAUCAGCAGGGAAGAAAGUGACAGUACCUGACUAAGAAGCCCCGGCUAACUACGUGCCAGCAGCCGCGGUAAUACGUAGGGGGCAAGCGCUAUCCGGAUUCACUGAGCGUAAAGGGAGCGCAGGCGGCACGGCAAGUCUGGUGUGAAAACCCGGGGCUCAACCCCGGGACUGCAUUGGAAACUGCCGGGCUGGAGUGUCGGAGGGGUAAGCGGAAUUCCUAGUGUAGCGGUGAAAUGCGUAGAUAUUAGGAGGAACACCAGUGGCGAAGGCGGCUUACUGGACGAUGACUGACGCUGAGGCUCGAAAGCGUGGGGAGCAAACAGGAUUAGAUACC
Molecule: ribosomal RNA, 725 nt
Filed under: uncultured bacterium
Lineage: Bacteria
Description: bacterial SSU rRNA
Rfam family: Bacterial small subunit ribosomal RNA
Source: RNAcentral